GCGCGAGUGGUGGAAUUGGCAGACACGUACGUUUGAGGGGCGUAUGCGAAUAGCAUGCGGGUUCAAGUCCCGCCUCGCGCACCA
This 84-nucleotide transfer RNA is filed under the name Bacillota bacterium. Its description in RNAcentral is "Firmicutes bacterium (anaerobic digester metagenome) tRNA-Leu". It matches the Rfam family "tRNA". Rfam says of the family: Transfer RNA (tRNA) molecules are approximately 80 nucleotides in length. Their secondary structure includes four short double-helical elements and three loops (D, anti-codon, and T loops). The record is from RNAcentral. Lineage: Bacteria; Bacillati; Bacillota. RNAcentral also lists the same sequence under 1 other name.